Molecule: ribosomal RNA, 505 nt
Filed under: uncultured bacterium
Lineage: Bacteria
Description: bacterial SSU rRNA
Rfam family: Bacterial small subunit ribosomal RNA
Source: RNAcentral
AUGGCUCAGGAUGAACGCUGGCGGCAGGCUAAUACAUGCAAGUCGAACGGUAACGACCGGUAGCAAUACUGGGGCGACGAGUGGCGCACGGGUGCGUAACGCGUAUGCAACCUGCCCUCAACCGGGACACAACGCCGAGAAAUUGGCGCUAAUAUCCCAUGUGUACAGGAGACGGCAUCGUUUUCUAUAUAAAGAUUUAUUGGUUGAGGAUGGGCAUGCGUAACAUUAGCUAGUUGGCGGGGUAACGGCUCACCAAGGCGACGAUGUUUAGGGGUUCUGAGAGGAUUCACCCCCACACUGGAACUGAGACACGGUCCAGACUCCUACGGGAGGCAGCGGUAGGGAAUAUUGGGCAAUGGAGGCAACUCUGACCCAGCCAUGCCGCGUGAAGGAAGACGGCCCUAUGGGUUGUAAACUUCUUUUGCCGCAGAGUAACCGCGGGGACGCGUCCCCGCCUGAGAGUAUGCGGCGAAUAAGUAUCGGCUAACUCCGUGCCAGCCGCUGC